Molecule: ribosomal RNA, 534 nt
Filed under: uncultured Chloroflexota bacterium
Lineage: Bacteria; Bacillati; Chloroflexota
Description: bacterial SSU rRNA
Rfam family: Bacterial small subunit ribosomal RNA
Source: RNAcentral
CAAGGGAUUUUCCCCAAUGGGCGCAAGCCUGAGGGAGCAACGCCGCGUGCAGGACGACGGCCUUCGGGUUGUAAACUGCUUUUGGGGGGAAGGAUGAUGACGGUACCCCCCGAAUAAGCCCCGGCUAACUCCGUGCCAGCAGCCGCGGUAAGACGGAGGGGGCAAGCGUUGUCCGGACUUACUGGGCGUAAAGGGCCCGUAGGCGGCCCGGUGCGUCGGUGCUGAAAGCGCCCCGCUUAACGGGGGCGAGGCGUGCCGAUACGACCGGGCUCGAGGCAGGCAGAGGGUGGCGGAAUUCCGGGUGUAGUGGUGAAAUGCGUAGAGAUCCGGAGGAACGCCUGUGGCGCAAGCGGCCACCUGGGCCUGACCUGACGCUGAGGGGCGAAAGCGUGGGGAGCGAACCGGAUUAGAUACCCGGGUAGUCCACGCGGUAACGAUGCCGGCUCGGUGUCUGGGUUCCGUUCAGGAACCUGGGUGCCUCAGCACACGCGGUAAGCCGGCCGCCUGGGGAGUACGAGCGCAAGCUUAAAACUC